GACGAACGCUGGCGGCGUGCUUAACACAUGCAAGUCGAGCGGAAAGGCCACUUCGGUGGUACUCGAGCGGCGCACGGGUGCGUAACACGUGAGUAAUCUGCCCCUCACUUUGGGAUAGCCACCGGAAACGGUGAUUAAUACCGGAUAUGACCAUAUGUCGCAUGGCGUGUGGUGGAAAGUUUUUCGGUGAGGGAUGUGCUCGCGGCCUAUCAGCUUGAUGGUGAGGUAAUGGCUCACCAUGGCUUCGACGGGUAGCCGGCCUGAGAGGGUGACCGGUCACACUGGGACUGAGACACGGCCCAGACUCCUACGGGAGGCAACAGUGGGGAAUAUUGGACAAUGGGCGGAAGCCUGAUCCAGCAACGCCGCGUGAGGGAUGACGGCCUUCGGGUGGUAAACCUCUUUCAGUACCGACGAAGCGCAAGUGACGGUAGGUACAGAAGAAGCACCGGCCAACUACGU
RNAcentral lists this ribosomal RNA (462 nucleotides) under uncultured bacterium. RNAcentral describes it as "partial 16S ribosomal RNA". It matches the Rfam family "Bacterial small subunit ribosomal RNA", at positions 28 to 506 of the family's 1533-position model. The record is from RNAcentral.